GAAAUGAAGUUGGAUUGCCAUUUCUUUUUCAUAAGCACAGUUGUACAACGUUGAUUUGACAUGUGAUGUUUAUUGAUUGGGAUGGUAUGUAGUUGAUGCACUCCAACAAAUAGCUGGUACCAUGGGCUCAACAUAUUAGAAGUUUAAUGGUAGUUCUUGCCAACUUGAAAUGGUUGGGAUGACACCAGAGCCACCAAGAAAUUCUGAGAGCAGCAUUGGUUGUGAUUGCAACAACACCGUUUGUCAUGUCGUAAAGAUAGUGCUCAAGUUCUAUAGUACGUCUUCCUGGCAUGCUUCCGCCUCAACUGGUGAAGCUUCCUCACCUUCGAGAAAUUGAUUUUGCUUACAACUAUCUCAAUGGGACAAUACCACUGGAAUGGGCUUCAAUGCGAUUAACUUCUAUCUCUGUUAUUGGGAAUCGCUUAUCAGGGGAGAUUCCAAAGGAAUUGGAAAAUAUUACUGGUCUCACAUACCUGUACGUUUUGAACUUUGGUUUGAAGUCUUCGUGAGUGGGCUUGAGUUUGUAAAAUAAAAAUAAAGUAGAAAGACUCUGGUUUUAUUGUUAAGUUUACUACUAUGA
Molecule: long non-coding RNA, 580 nt
Organism: Alnus glutinosa
Lineage: Eukaryota; Viridiplantae; Streptophyta; Magnoliopsida; Fagales; Betulaceae
Exons: 4
Source: RefSeq, a predicted model, not a curated record